Molecule: ribosomal RNA, 434 nt
Filed under: uncultured bacterium
Lineage: Bacteria
Description: partial 16S ribosomal RNA
Rfam family: Bacterial small subunit ribosomal RNA
Source: RNAcentral
AGCGAACGCUGGCGGCAGGCCUAACACAUGCAAGUCGAACGAACCUUUCGGGGCGAGUGGCGGACGGGUGAGUAACACGUGGGAACGUGCCUUUAGGCUCGGAAUAACUCAGGGAAACUUGUGCUAAUACCGAAUGUGCCCUUCGGGGGAAAGAUUUAUCGCCUUUAGAGCGGCCGGCGUCUGGUUAGCUGGUUGGUUGAGGUAAUGGCUCACCAAGGAGACGAUCAGUAGCUGGUCUGAGAGGAUGAUCAGCCACAUUGGGACUGAGACACGGCCCAACAUCCUACGGGAGGCAGCAGUGGGGAAUCUUGCGCAAUGGGCGCAAGCCUGACGCAGCCAUGCCGCGUGAAUGAUGAAGGUCUUAGGAUUGUAAAAUUCUUACACCGGAGACGAUAAUGACGGUACCCGGAGAAGAAGCCCCGGCUAACUUCGUG